UACCUACAGAAGAAGUCCCGCAAACUCCGUGCCAGCAGCCGCGGUAAUACGAAGGGGGCAAGCGUUGUUCGGAAUUAUUGGGCGUAAAGCGCAUGUAGGCGGUUCUGGUAAGUUAAAGGUGAAAUGCCAGGGCUUAACCCUGGAGCUGCUUUUAAUACUGCCAGGCUAGAGUCCGGUAGGAGGAUAGCGGAAUUCCUAGUGUAGGGGUGAAAUUCGUAGAUAUUAGGAGGAACACCAGNGGCGAAGAGCGGCUAUCUGGUCCGGUACUGACGCUGAUGUGCGAAAGCGUGGGGAGCAAACAGGAUUAGAUACCCUGGUAGUCCACGCUGUAAACGAUGAGUGCU
This 344-nucleotide ribosomal RNA is filed under the name Anaplasma phagocytophilum. RNAcentral's name for it is "bacterial SSU rRNA". It matches the Rfam family "Bacterial small subunit ribosomal RNA", at positions 476 to 817 of the family's 1533-position model. Lineage: Bacteria; Pseudomonadati; Pseudomonadota; Alphaproteobacteria; Rickettsiales; Anaplasmataceae. The record is from RNAcentral.